CCUACGGGGGGCAGCAGUGGGGAAUAUUGGACAAUGGGCGAAAGCCUGAUCCAGCCAUGCCGCGUGUGUGAAGAAGGCCUUCGGGUUGUAAAGCACUUUCAGUGGGGAAGAAAGCCUUGGGGCUAAUACCCUCGAGGAAGGACAUCACCCACAGAAGAAGCACCGGCUAACUCCGUGCCAGCAGCCGCGGUAAUACGGAGGGUGCGGGCGUUAAUCGGAAUUACUGGGCGUAAAGCGCGCGUAGGCGGUCUGAUAAGCGCGGUUGUGAAAGCCCCGGGCUCAACCUGGGAACGGCAUCCGGAACUGUCAGGCUAGAGUGCAGGAGAGGAAGGUAGAAUUCCCGGUGUAGCGGUGAAAUGCGUAGAGAUCGGGAGGAAUACCAGUGGCGAAGGCGGCCUUCUGGACUGACACUGACGCUGAGGUGCGAAAGCGUGGGUAGCAAACAGGAUUAGAUACCCCAGUAGUC
RNAcentral lists this ribosomal RNA (466 nucleotides) under Vreelandella stevensii. Its description in RNAcentral is "partial 16S ribosomal RNA". It matches the Rfam family "Bacterial small subunit ribosomal RNA", at positions 338 to 795 of the family's 1533-position model. The record is from RNAcentral. Lineage: Bacteria; Pseudomonadati; Pseudomonadota; Gammaproteobacteria; Oceanospirillales; Halomonadaceae.